RNAcentral lists this ribosomal RNA (525 nucleotides) under uncultured bacterium. RNAcentral describes it as "bacterial SSU rRNA". It matches the Rfam family "Bacterial small subunit ribosomal RNA", at positions 773 to 1294 of the family's 1533-position model. The record is from RNAcentral.
AGGAAAUAGAUACCCCGGUAGUCCACGCCGUAAACGAUGAUAACUAGCUGUCCGGGUUCAUGGAACUUGGGUGGCGCAGCUAAACGCAUUAAGUUAUCCGCCUGGGGAGUACGGUCGCAAGAUUAAAACUCAAAGGAAUUGACGGGGGCCUGCACAAGCGGUGGAGCAUGUGGUUUAAAUUCGAAGCAACGCGCAGAACCUUACCAGCCUUUGACAUCCUGGUCGCGGAUUAGAGAGAUCUUUUCCUUCAGUUCGGCUGGACCAGUGACAGGUGCUGCAUGGCUGUCGUCAGCUCGUGUCGUGAGAUGUUGGGUUAAGUCCCGCAACGAGCGCAACCCUCGUCCUUAGUUGCCAUCAUUUAGUUGGGCACUCUAAGGAAACUGCCGGUGAUAAGCCGGAGGAAGGUGGGGAUGACGUCAAGUCCUCAUGGCCCUUACAGGCUGGGCUACACACGUGCUACAAUGGCGAUGACAGUGAGCAGCUAGACCGCGAGGUCGUGCUAAUCUCUAAAAGUCGUCUCAGUUC